UCUGAGUUCCAAAGUCACUGCCACCAUUCCUGCAUUCAUCCAUGUCUCCAUCAGCUGAGUUUAGAGUGCUGUUGAGGCUGUAACUACCAUGGCAUCUGACAACGGAAGGGACUAUUUCAAAGAAUACGCUAAAGUGCUAUAGAAGAAAACCCUUAUUGGAAUUCAUAAUGUUACAAAUGAAGGCUAAAUCUAUAGAAGUGCUAACGUGGGCAGAGAAGAAGAGAACAGACUGCAGCUCUUUCUGGAACAUCUUGAACAAAUGCCAUUGCUUAUGUUCUAAUCAUUCACUUCACCAAAAUACCUAACGAUGAAGAAAAGGUUGUGAAGACAUUACUAGUAGUAUCAUAUGGCAAUGUGUGGGUGUGAUUUAUCAAGAAGAAUUUGUAUCACAUAGAUGAUACUUGGCAAACAGCAAAUUAAGUUUGUUUUUCAUAUCUCAGACUGAUGUUACAUGUCAGUAAUUUAAUAAAAGGAUAAUGAGAAUGAUAUUUUUUGACUCA
Molecule: long non-coding RNA, 500 nt
Filed under: Cyanistes caeruleus (blue tit)
Lineage: Eukaryota; Metazoa; Chordata; Aves; Passeriformes; Paridae
Description: lncRNA (ENSCCEG00000002811.1)
Source: RNAcentral